RNAcentral lists this long non-coding RNA (708 nucleotides) under Ananas comosus (pineapple). RNAcentral describes it as "long non-coding RNA (ACOM_LNC029033)". The record is from RNAcentral. Lineage: Eukaryota; Viridiplantae; Streptophyta; Magnoliopsida; Poales; Bromeliaceae.
GAAUCUAUCUCCCUUAGUAAAUAGAGGUUUUAGUUCUAUAUGAUUUAUGAGACUGAAUUUAGAACACCUUGGUUAGGGUAGAGUUAAUAGCGGAAAGGGUUUAGAAACUCGAAUCAAAUAAAUUUGACAUAUGACAGAUAAUGGGGUUUAAUAAGCUAUUUCAUUACCUUCGUCUAGUCGAGACUCAUGAUAGAAGGACUGUAUCGUAUGAUUACUGCACUAAGAGAUUUAGUAUUCUAUUCUAAUGGAAUGUCACUAUAUGCUGCUAGGCGUUACUAGUGGAUUAUGAGACUCGUGAGAGUUAUCUAGAUGAUCGAUAAUUCUCAUUGGGCUGAGUUAGAAUUGUUCCAACCCAUUGAAAAUAGUCUUCAGUGAUAUUGUUAAUAGUGAUUAGAAUAUAUCUCACUACUAGAUAGAAUUAAGAGAUUGUGACUGAUUAGAUAGCUCGAUCGUGAUUUUUGAAUCGUUGGAGGACCUAAUUGUCAAUAUAUUGAUAAUUGGACUAAUUUGUAAUUAUUAUGAAUUAGUGGUAUUAAAGUAUAAAUGUUGUAAGAGAGAACUUAUGUACAAAUAUUAUAUUAUUAAUUUGAUAUAAUCAAAUUAAGAUUGAGUUUAUGUAACGACCCAGCCCACUAGCAACAAUAACUCGUUGGACCCAACCACCGGCCCAAAAUGCUUAAGCCCAGUUAUUAUUACUAGUGUCUAAGN